CCUGGGCAGUUGGUGAGUGCACAUUGGACUCUUCUAGUGGAUGAACACUGAACUCUUCUAUCUCAAUACUAGGCUCCCUCGGAACAUUAUUAUUAUAAUACUCCCCCUGGGCACCAGAAUUUUCAAGCAUGCAUAGAGAGUCAGCCGGAAGAAGUAAUUCUGGUGUCCUAUUAUCAGAUAGACGACUUCCAUAAUAAGCUUCAGUUUCUCGAAAAGUAACAUCCAUAGUAACAAGCAUUCGCCGCUCAAGGGGGUAAUAGCACUUGUAUCUGUUUUGAGUAGCAGGAUAACCGACAAAGACACUUUAAUGCUUGUGC
RNAcentral lists this long non-coding RNA (317 nucleotides) under Elaeis guineensis (African oil palm). RNAcentral describes it as "long non-coding RNA (EGUI_LNC019475)". The record is from RNAcentral. Lineage: Eukaryota; Viridiplantae; Streptophyta; Magnoliopsida; Arecales; Arecaceae.